GAUCAGGCUCAGGAUGAACGCUAGCGACAGGCUUAACACAUGCAAGUCGAGGGGCAGCACAGGUAGCAAUACCGGGUGGCGACCGGCGCACGGGUGAGUAACGCGUAUGCAACUUGCCUAUCAGAGGGGGAUAACCCGGCGAAAGUCGGACUAAUACCGCAUGAAGCAGGGGCCCCGCAUGGGGAUAUUUGCUAAAGAUUCAUCGCUGAUAGAUAGGCAUGCGUUCCAUUAGG
Molecule: ribosomal RNA, 233 nt
Filed under: uncultured bacterium
Lineage: Bacteria
Description: partial 16S ribosomal RNA
Rfam family: Bacterial small subunit ribosomal RNA
Source: RNAcentral